AGGAAGAUGAAGAAGAAGAACAAAAGAAGAGGGAAGCUCGGGGUGUUUGUCGUGCAUUUCAAAGGGGUGAAUGUACCCGUGGAGCUGGAUGCAAAUUCUCCCAUGAUGAGCAGAGAGCUGCAAACACGGGAUGGGGGGCGGCAGAAGAUGCAAGUUCAAAAUGGGGGCACGACAAGUUCAACGAUCGAAAAGAUCAUGACAGAG
This 204-nucleotide unclassified non-coding RNA is filed under the name Hevea brasiliensis (rubber tree). Lineage: Eukaryota; Viridiplantae; Streptophyta; Magnoliopsida; Malpighiales; Euphorbiaceae. The record is from RNAcentral.